This is a non-coding RNA of Oryctolagus cuniculus (rabbit), 959 nucleotides long. Lineage: Eukaryota; Metazoa; Chordata; Mammalia; Lagomorpha; Leporidae. The record is from RefSeq and is a predicted model, not a curated record.
GAGCAUGCGCGGGGAAGAGCGCAUGCCCAGAGCGAGGGCGCAGAGGCCCGGCCCCGGAGGAAUGUCGGGAGUUGAAUUUGAUGGCCUGGGCCUGCGAUGGGUUCAGCCAAAAGUUUGAUCAAAUAAAACAGUGUGAGACCUCAGCUCAGCCAAGUUCUCUGCAGAGCCGGAGCAGAGACUGGACCAAGGUCACACCAGGCAUCUUUGCAGCAGCUGGGGACUUGGUGCAGUUAAUUCCUUCCGCCCGUGUGAGGCUCGGUAGCCGCCCCCACAGGAAUCACCGAGGCUUAACCAAGCAUCUGAUGUGAAGACCUGAGCCUGGAGCCUUCGAAGCAUGCCAGGGCUUUCGAGGAUGUGUGAGGCCUGGGGAAUUCAUUUGUUUCAAAUCACCAUCAAGGAGAUGCCAGGUUCCCUGCCCGGAGUUAGAAUCGGUGUUGAAAACCCAGGACGCUUUGGCUGGUAAUUAAUCCAGAGCUCACCCAGGGCAGCCUCGGCUCUCAGCCUGCAAACGCCACACGCUUGCUCGCCCGUGAAUAAAAACCAGAGCAGAGAUCCAGACAGGCAGAUAUGGGCACCGAGGCCUCAGGUCGCAGGGCAAGGGCCCCGGGCCGAGGCAGGACAUGCUGCAAGUCCCAGUCGCCUCCGAGCACCCGGCUUCCUCUAGCCAAACUGGCACCUGUCUUCCUUCCAUCUGGGCUCACGGGCGGAGUAGAGGGUCUCUGGCCCUGUGUCCAGUUCUGCAGGUUCAGGAGUUGGGGCCAGGCUAGCCUGGUCUCAUCCUCUCCAGCUGACUUCGGUGGAAGCAGUGGAUGGUGGUGCAUGUCCAAUGGGGGGCCUACGGGGCCCCCCACUCACUAGCUUGGUGACUCUGGACAAGUCUCUGAGCUGUGGUUUCCAUAAAUGUAACAUGAGGAUAAGAAUAGCAUGACGCCGACAGAUAAUCUAUAAAAAGUGCUAAU